UGGGCCCGAGUUUGAUCAUGGCUCAGAGCGAACGCUGGCGGCAGGCUUAACACAUGCAAGUCGAGCGGGCGUAGCAAUACGUCAGCGGCAGACGGGUGAGUAACGCGUGGGAACGUACCUUUUGGUUCGGAACAACUCAGGGAAACUUGAGCUAAUACCGGAUACGCCCUUACGGGGAAAGAUUUAUUGCCGAAGGAACGGCCCGCGUCCGAUUAGCUUGUUGGUGAGGUAAUGGCUCACCAAGGCGACGAUCGGUAGCUGGUCUGAGAGGAUGACCAGCCUCACUGGGACUGAGACACGGCCCAGACUCCUACGGGAGGCAGCAGUGGGGAAUAUUGGACAAUGGGCGCAAGCCUGAUCCAGCCAUGCCGCGUGGAUGAUGAAGGCCCUAGGGUUGUAAAGUCCUUUUAACGGGGAAGAUAAUGACGGUACCCGUAGAAUAAGCCCCGGCUAACUUCGUGCCAGCAGCCGCGGUUA
Molecule: ribosomal RNA, 477 nt
Filed under: uncultured bacterium
Lineage: Bacteria
Description: bacterial SSU rRNA
Rfam family: Bacterial small subunit ribosomal RNA
Source: RNAcentral